This 370-nucleotide ribosomal RNA is filed under the name uncultured organism. RNAcentral's name for it is "bacterial SSU rRNA". It matches the Rfam family "Bacterial small subunit ribosomal RNA", at positions 526 to 896 of the family's 1533-position model. The record is from RNAcentral.
CGUAGGGUGCAAGCGUUAAUCGGAAUUACUGGGCGUAAAGCGUGCGCAGGCGGUUAUGUAAGACAGGUGUGAAAUCCCCGGGCUUAACCUGGGAACUGCAUUUGUGACUGCAUAGCUAGAGUACGGUAGAGGGGGAUGGAAUUCCGCGUGUAGCAGUGAAAUGCGUAGAUAUGCGGAGGAACACCGAUGGCGAAGGCAAUCCCCUGGACCUGUACUGACGCUCAUGCACGAAAGCGUGGGGAGCAAACAGGAUUAGAUACCCUGGUAGUCCACGCCCUAAACGAUGUCAACUGGUUGUUGGGUCUUCACUGACUCAGUAACGAAGCUGACGCAUGAGGUUGACCGCCUGGGGAGUACGGCCGCAAGGUUG